Molecule: long non-coding RNA, 1901 nt
Organism: Ziziphus jujuba (common jujube)
Lineage: Eukaryota; Viridiplantae; Streptophyta; Magnoliopsida; Rosales; Rhamnaceae
Exons: 3
Source: RefSeq, a predicted model, not a curated record
GAUUGGGACUCAUCUGACCCAUCUCCCCUCCUAGGUCAUUUUUGUCCUAAACUCAAAUGAAGCCCUACUCUAUUCUCUCAUCGAAGCAGAUCGUUGGCUUGUGGUGGAAAAUCAAAAAAUCUCGCUGGAACGCAAUGGAAAAUCGAAGGAGCUCGCCGAACAUCUGCAUAUCUUAGAGAAAUAAACACGGUCAGUGAGUACCCUCCAUCUCUGCAUCUCUGUAUCUGUUGAUUCUUCUUUUUCCUUCUUUGUUGUGACCUUUCUUCUUGUCCUUUGUUGACAUGAAAGCUUAUCUUACUCGAUCUGGGAAGUUUAGGGCUUUGAUUUGCAAGUAAAUCCUAGAUUUGCAAGGACCCGGGCAAGUGUCAUCUUCCUCUUUGUUUAUGUUGUUGUGGGUGUGGAUUUGAAACAUAAUUUUCAUCUCUCGCCGACUUCUCUUUAAAAAAAAAAAAAAUACUUAAAUGGAAAACCAAAAUCCUUUUUUUUUUCUAAUGUUUGGGACUUUUGUUGUUUCUUAUUACUGCUUGGGAAAUUGUUUUUUGAAAUGCUCUUUUGCAAUUUGUUAUUUCUUUCGGUUUGGGCAAUUUUUGUAGUUUGUAUUAGUAUGGAACAAAUUUUAACAAAUUUUCUGCUGCAUGUUCUGUCUUAGAAACAGAAUACAUUGGAGAAAGGUGUCUGGGCACUUUUUUGAAUCUUCCUCCUACCAAAUCUUAUCGAUUAUCCCUCGAACACAAAACCUUAGCACCAAGGGUAAAAUCCCUACAUAUCGUUGCUAUUUUCUUGUUCUUUUCUCUGAAUUCUUCUUGUUAGAGUAAUAGGUUUUAGCUUAUGCAGCUAUUAAUUUAUUGUAAUUUUUUUUUAUUUGGUCUUGUGUGUCUGAAGUAUGUGAAAUGGUUCUAACUUAUUUGGUCUUCUUUGUGCUCUCUUGAUUUGGGUCGGUCUGAUUUAUUGUUCUCAUGGAAUCCUGGUAGAGUAUAAAUCUUCUCAUUCUUGAUAAUUAUUAUUGCUCGUUUGGUAUAAUGUAGUCAAGUCCUUUCAUAAAUGAGAUAAACACAAAACGUAAGGGAAGGAGAAGAUGUGAAUAGUAAUUAUUUGAUUAUAAAUUUAUAUUUUCUUCUGUAUAAUCUUGUUUCUAAGUUAACUCUCUAACAAUUUCUUAUCAUAUUAUUAAUUUGAUUUUGAUGCUUAACAAGCAAACAACUUAGUGCCAAUGUUCCAAAAUAAACCCUCAUCAUUUUGCAUUAUAUCAUAUAUUAUAUAUUUAUAUCUAUAUAUAUAUAUAUUUUUUUUUUCCAGCUCUAUAUAUAUUUGUACACACCUGUUCCAUUCCUUCUCAAGUUUAAUACAUGUCCUUUUUUGUGGAUCACAAUCUGGAACUCUAUUACUAUAUUGAAGGGGACAUUUUAAGGAUUGCUUAAUUGGGUUUAGAGCUUAUCUUUUGAUUUGGAUCGGUCGGACAAAGAGAUAGUGCAAUUUACGAGUGAUCAAGAAACUUCAGUCCCUGAUAGCCAAAAAAGCUUGGUUAGACGAAAAGUGCGUAUUUAAAGUGGUGUUGAUCAAAUGUUUUAACUUUUCUUUGUUGGUUUUCCUGCUAAGUCUUUUUUCCUUGUAUUUCUUUGAAGAAAAUCUAUCUCGUGUUCCUUGGCUAUGGAAAAUAAUUCCAUCUUGAAGCUUUUUUUUUAUGAUGUUUGGCUACAGUUUAAGUUUGGGGAUGAUGUUUGGAAAAUCUCUCAUGUUUGCUCAUUUGGUGUUUUCCAUUGGCAUGCCAAUAAAUAUAAUAUACUACGUACCCGAUCCAUUAAUUAAUUAUUGGAUUUAGUUGUUUGUACCAUGUACAACAAGUACUCUUAUUAAAUUCUUUAUAAAUUAAUAUACUAUCUAUAUAUAUUGGCCUAAUAUAA